AUGUUCAAUGGUAACAGACCGUCAGUGUGUUUUUUAAUUCAGCUAUGCUGCCAGAUCCUGAAGACAGACUACAGAAAAGCCAGUUGCCCAGGUAAAGCAGUCCACUCAGAACCUGUGGAGGUGUGCGUACAACAGCCAGGCAACUUAAAACUAGGAAACAACAGGAAUGGUAAAAGAUGGAUGUGUCUGCUUUUAACUCCAUGUCACAAAGCUGACAGGUCAGUAAAAAUUCAAUGUUUUUGUUUGAGUUCUAUUCUGAGAAAAUUGUUGUGGCUGCGUGGUGUGUCCUUUUUUAUUUCGGCUCCCAUGUUAAUAGGUUUGAGCUUGCACACUGCCUGCGAUCUUAGGCUGCAACAUCAUUCAAAUGGAAUAUGCGCUCUUUCAGCAGUCGGACUGACUGAAGGAGAUCUGACCAUGCAGGUUCUGGAGCUUUCUGAGGGACCUUUUUGGGCUAAUGAAGCAGAUGAUGAACUUUCAGAGGAACACAGUGACGGCGUGCCCUCGAAGACCGUCUCAGCCUAACGCACCGGAUGUAGGACAGACAUGCUGUCUGGCCACACAACCAGGUAUGAAUAUAGUUCCAUUGUUUCCAAGGCAUCAAAUUCUUGAAUGGUCACUGCUUACAGGAAAUAAGUGAUUGGACAUGCAAAACUAUGCCAAUUUUUACCUCAAUUCAUAGAGAAAUUAACCUCAAUAUAAGGACAAGUACUGGCCCACGGACCUGACGGACCUCAGCCAAACUGCCAUGCUUUAGCUCAGCCAGCCACACAGCAGAAAGAGGAGGCGCACCAGCCCAUGUGCUUAAAGCACUACUGGUCCCAGGAGAUAGCAGAGCUUCCUCGACCCAUCCAGCAUCCAGGUGAGUCUUUAGAAAUGAAACAAUUCAUUCUAACACAAUGUCUGGUUUUCAGUGAGUCGGAGAAGAUAGUGUCUGAAAAGAAGCCCGCAGGAACGGUGUCUCCGACAGGAAGUCCCACUCCAGCAGCUCCGCCCUCAUCAGUGCAACACAACACAAUGGCUAGACACCUGGGUGUGGACAGACACUUCCAUGCUCCGUAGAGCCAUCUGGAACUAUAUUCAGUGCAAGUUUGGGAUUCGGUAAGUCUCUUCACUGCUCACAGUUUCAGAAAUAUGUAGCAACAUUGAAUAUGUUUAUUCAUUCUACAAGGAACCAUUUAAAAUGCUGAAGAUGUCUCUGAGACUCCCCCGGGGCCUUCAAAUAUGGGAUUCGGUAAGUCUCUUCACUGCUCACAGUUUCAGAAAUAUGUAGCAACAUUGAAUACAUUUAUUCAUUCUACAAGGAACCUUUUAAAAUGAUAAAGAUGUCUCCGAGACUCCCCCGGGGCCUUCAAAUAAGCACCAGCGGGAGAUCAUUUGUUUAUGCAUCUCAACAGGUCCAAGGCCAGCGGUUUAACAUACGCUUCUGGCAUGUGUGUGCUGAGAUGCUGGACCAGAGGAGGACAGACAUGCUGUACGGACAUGCUGUCUCUCCACUACUCACAGUUUGCAUUCAUGCUGUCAAUGUACCAGACCAGGCAAUCUGAACCAGUUGGUCUGAAAACAGUGUAUCUGACCAGAGGAGGACAGACAUGCUGUACGGACAUGCUGUCUCUCCACUACUCACAGUUUGCAUUUAUGCUGUCAAUGUACCAGACCAGGCAAUCUGAACAAGUUUUUCUGAAAACAGUGUAUCCGGAGUGUAAAAGGGAUCAACAAGUAUAUGGACAAAUCCACAACAAUGUUAGCCAUGCCCAGCAAAUCUGCAUUCAUGCUCUCAACAUACCAGACUGGCCCUGUGGCGAUUGUAACUGA
This is a long non-coding RNA of Cyprinus carpio (common carp), 1812 nucleotides long. Lineage: Eukaryota; Metazoa; Chordata; Actinopteri; Cypriniformes; Cyprinidae. The record is from Ensembl.